RNAcentral lists this ribosomal RNA (433 nucleotides) under uncultured bacterium. RNAcentral describes it as "partial 16S ribosomal RNA". It matches the Rfam family "Bacterial small subunit ribosomal RNA", at positions 29 to 507 of the family's 1533-position model. The record is from RNAcentral.
AACGAACGCUGGCGGCAUGCCUAACACAUGCAAGUCGAACGAUGCCUUCGGGCAUAGUGGCGCACGGGUGCGUAACGCGUGGGAAUCUGCCUUUCGGUUCGGAAUAACUCAGGGAAACUUGAGCUAAUACCGGAUAACGUCGCACGACCAAAGAUUUAUCACCGAAAGAUGAGCCCGCGUAGGAUUAGCUAGUUGGUGAGGUAAAGGCUCACCAAGGAGACGAUCCUUAGCUGGUCUGAGAGGAUGAGCAGCCACACGGGGACUGAGACACGGCCCAGACUCCUACGGGAGGCAGCAGUGGGGAAUAUUGGACAAUGGCAGAAAGGCUGAAGCAGCAAUGCCGCGUGAAUGAUGAAGGCCUGAGGGUUGUAAAGCUCUUUUACGCGGGAAGAUAAUGACGGUACCGGGAGAAUAAGCCCCGGCUAACUACGUG